Molecule: ribosomal RNA, 468 nt
Filed under: uncultured bacterium
Lineage: Bacteria
Description: partial 16S ribosomal RNA
Rfam family: Bacterial small subunit ribosomal RNA
Source: RNAcentral
GACGAACGCUGGCGGCGUGCUUAACACAUGCAAGUCGAACGGAAAGGCCCUGCUUUUGUGGGGUGCUCGAGUGGCGAACGGGUGAGUAACACGUAAGUAACCUGCCCUUGACUUUGGGAUAACUUCAGGAAACUGGGGCUAAUACCGGAUAGGAGCUCCUGCUGCAUGGUGGGGGUUGGAAAGUUUCGGCGGUUGGGGAUGGACUCGCGGCUUAUCAGCUUGUUGGUGGGGUAGUGGCUUACCAAGGCUUUGACGGGUAGCCGGCCUGAGAGGGUGACCGGCCACAUUGGGACUGAGAUACGGCCCAGACUCCUAUGGGAGGCAGCAGUGGGGAAUAUUGCACAAUGGGCGGAAGCCUGAUGCAGCAACGCCGCGUGCGGGAUGACGGCCUUCGGGUUGUAAACCGCUUUCGCCUGUGACGAAGCGUGAGUGACGGUAAUGGGUAAAGAAGCACCGGCUAACUACGUG